Long non-coding RNA from Oncorhynchus tshawytscha (Chinook salmon), 543 nucleotides. NCBI's taxonomy places the organism in Eukaryota, Metazoa, Chordata, Actinopteri, Salmoniformes, Salmonidae. The record is from Ensembl.
CCACUUCCUGAACGAUGAGUUUGUGAAACCAGAUGCCUUCCUGGCGUUCUCCGCAGGCACAACUAAUAAUAAAAAGCUUCUGACACCAGUUCUAUCAAUCACACCCUUGCAGUUGAAUGAGAGGAGGUGAGGGUAGACUAUCGAGAUGCAGCCUAAGGUUUGGUGUGCAACCUAACUAAGGUUCGAGAGGCUAUGGCCACAUUAGAAUGUGAGUCAGGAAUACUGUCAUCUUUAUUUCUAAAGAGAAACUGAGCUGCUCAGUUGGUCUACAGGUGUCUGAGGUUCUCGUGUGUGUGUGUGUACCGGGGAGCUGCUGGCACGCAUGGAUCUCUUCCUCAUCCUGGUCACUCUGCUGCGGUGACUCCACUUCCUGUGGCCAGAGGAUGCUGGGAAGCCAGACUGCCCAAACCCAACAGGGUAUUAGUCAGACAGAGGAAACCAGAGAGCCUGAUGGAGCCAGUGUUACCCUAAAAUAUGUCCCCACAUGAUUCUGGGGCUACCACAUCUCCAAUCUCUUUGCCAGAGCAAGAAAAACACAAACUC